Molecule: ribosomal RNA, 469 nt
Filed under: uncultured bacterium
Lineage: Bacteria
Description: partial 16S ribosomal RNA
Rfam family: Bacterial small subunit ribosomal RNA
Source: RNAcentral
GAUGAACGCUGGCGGCGUGCUUAACACAUGCAAGUCGAACGGAAAGGCCCUGCUUUUGUGGGUCGCUCGAUUGCCGAGCUCGUGAGUAACACGUGAGUAACCUGCCCUUGGCUUUGGGAUAACUCCACGAAACCGGGGCUAAUACCGGAUAGGAGCUCCUGCUGCAUGUUGGUGGUUGGAAAGUUUCGGCGUUUGGGGAUCGACUCGCGGCUUACCCGCUUGCUAGUGGGGUAGUGGCUUACCCAGGCUUUGACGGGUACCCGGCCUGUGAGGGUGACCGGCCACAUAGGGACUGAGAGACGGCCCAGACUGCUACGGGAGGCAGCAGGGGGGAAGAUUGCACAAUGAGCGGAAGCCUGAUGCAGCAAGGCCGCGUGCGGGAAGACGGCCUUCGGGUUGGAAAACGAUUUCGCCUGUGACGAAGCGUGAGUGACGGUAAUGGGUAAAGAAGCACCGGGUAAAUACGUGG